GACGAACGCUGGCGGCGUGCUUAACACAUGCAAGUCGAACGGAAAGGCCCUGCUUUUGUGGGGUGCUCGAGUGGCGAACGGGUGAGUAACACGUGAGUAACCUGCCCUUGACUUUGGGAUAACUUCAGGAAACUGGGGCUAAUACCGGAUAGGAGCUCCUGCUGCAUGGUGGGGGUUGGAAAGUUUCGGCGGUUGGGGAUGGACUCGCGGCUUAUCAGCUUGUUGGUGGGGUAGUGGCUUACCAAGGCUUUGACGGGUAGCCGGCCUGAGAGGGUGACCGGGCAAAAUGGGAAUGAGGUACGGGCCAGACUCCUAAGGGGGGGAGGAGGGGGGAAUAAUGGAAAAAGGGGGGAAGCCUGAUGCAGGAACGCCGCGUGGGGGAAGAAGGGCUUCGGGUUGGAAACCGCUUUCGCCUGUGACGAAGCGUGAGUGACGGUAAUGGGUAAAGAAGCACCGGCUAACUACGUG
Molecule: ribosomal RNA, 468 nt
Filed under: uncultured bacterium
Lineage: Bacteria
Description: partial 16S ribosomal RNA
Rfam family: Bacterial small subunit ribosomal RNA
Source: RNAcentral